CCAGACUCCUACGGGAGGCAGCAGUGAGGAAUAUUGGUCAAUGGGCUUACGCCUGAACCAGCCAAGUCGCGUGAGGGAAGACUGCCCUAUGGGUUGUAAACCUCUUUUGUCAGGGAGCAAUUGGCGCUACGUGUAGCGUUAUCGAGAGUACCUGAAGAAAAAGCAUCGGCUAACUCCGUGCCAGCAGCCGCGGUAAUACGGAGGAUGCGAGCGUUAUCCGGAUUUAUUGGGUUUAAAGGGUGCGUAGGCGGAAUGCCAAGUCAGCGGAAAAAUCGCGGGGCUCAACCUCGCUCCGCCGUUGAAACUGGCGCUCUUGAGUGGAAGAGAAGUAUGCGGAAUGCGUGGUGUAGCGGUGAAAUGCAUAGAUAUCACGCAGAACCCCGAUUGCGAAGGCAGCAUGCCGGCUUCCGACUGACGCUGAAGCACGAAAGCGUGGGGAUCGAACAGGAUUAGAUACCCCCGUAAUU
RNAcentral lists this ribosomal RNA (467 nucleotides) under uncultured bacterium. RNAcentral describes it as "bacterial SSU rRNA". It matches the Rfam family "Bacterial small subunit ribosomal RNA", at positions 331 to 795 of the family's 1533-position model. The record is from RNAcentral.